GAUGAACGCUGCCAGAAUGCUUAACACAUGCAAGUCUACUUGAAUUUGGGUUUUUUAACUUAGAUUUGGGUGGCGGACGGGUGAGUAACGCGUAAAGAACUUGCCUCACAGCUAGGGACAACAUUUGGAAACGAAUGCUAAUACCUGAUAUUAUGAUUAUAAGGCAUCUUAGAAUUAUGAAAGCUAUAUGCGCUGUGAGAGAGCUUUGCGUCCCAUUAGCUAGUUGGAGAGGUAACGGCUCACCAAGGCGAUGAUGGGUAGCCGGCCUGAGAGGGUGAACGGCCACAAGGGGACUGAGACACGGCCCUUACUCCUACGGGAGGCAGCAGUGGGGAAUAUUGGACAAUGGACCAAGAGUCUGAUCCAGCAAUUCUGUGUGCACGAUGACGUUUUUCGGAAUGUAAAGUGCUUUCAGUUGGGAAGAAAAAAAUGACGGUACCAACAGAAGAAGUGACGGCUAAAUACGUG
RNAcentral lists this ribosomal RNA (468 nucleotides) under uncultured bacterium. RNAcentral's name for it is "partial 16S ribosomal RNA". It matches the Rfam family "Bacterial small subunit ribosomal RNA", at positions 28 to 507 of the family's 1533-position model. The record is from RNAcentral.